RNAcentral lists this long non-coding RNA (1253 nucleotides) under Equus caballus (horse). RNAcentral's name for it is "lncRNA (ENSECAG00000047218.1)". Lineage: Eukaryota; Metazoa; Chordata; Mammalia; Perissodactyla; Equidae. The record is from RNAcentral.
GUUGGUUUCUAACCUAGUGGUUACACAGAGAUGUGUAUACAAUGGGUGGGAGUUACUGGAUACCAUUGUCAAGGCAUUCCACCCCAUAGGCCAAGAUGAGGCCCUUGGGUCGCAUUCUAAACAUUCAGGAAACAAUUGAACCGCUUUAUGCCACAGGAUGACAAUAUCUGAAUUUCCACCCAUUUCAACCCCCUCAUGACGCCGACCUGAAAAUGAAGCCAAGUUGGAAGUGACUGUUCCGACGUCACACUGCUGGGACCCAGGCCUGCUUUCAGUGGUGUUCUGUGCUACGUCUCACCCCUUCUUGUAAUUCUUCCACCUCUAAGUUUGUGACUUAACACAUGUGGCACCAGGCCACAGGGGUUAUAGAAGAUAUUAUCUUAUAUAUACACCUGAUGAUCCCUGGGAAGUAGAUUCUGGCCUGAUCCCCACUGUGGGGGUUUGGAGACUGGGGAGGACCUGAGGCACAGUCACUUUCUGAGGACACAAAACUGAUAUGGAUGCAUCUUGCCAUAUUCCAUCCAGGGUGACCGACUACAGGACCAUCUAAGAAUUGCCCUCUCUCUCUUCCUGGGCACCUGACUAGAACAGUACCUGCAGAAUUCCUGGUGGCCCCUGCACUGUCCCCUCUUCAAGCUAAAGGAGCUGUAUGUGUAGGUCACCUUGCCUGGCUCGGACCUGGAUUGCUGUGACCCUCUUCUGGUGGUCCACUUGGAGCUUCCAGAUAUCACUGAGGCAGAGCCACAGGUGCCAGCUCCAGGUCUCCAGGCAGCUGCAGAACCACAACAGUGGCCAGGUCUGGAGGUAGAGCCAGCUCCAGCUCCAGCUCCAGCUCCAUUGAUACCAUCACCUAUAGUGUCGGAGCCAGCAUCCCUGCCAUCAGCAGUGUUGAAGCUGGAGCAAGGACCAGCAUCAGCUCCAGUGGGAGUGGCAGCUCCUGAGCUGGAGUCACCUGGACCACCAGGUCUAAUGGGAAUUCCAUCACCAGCUCCAAAGAUAGAGCCGGCUUGAAACCCAGAGCCUUCCUGCCCCAGGCCUGUGGCCAGUAAGAACCCACCAAGUGAGGAGAAGCUCAACCUCAGGGCCUUCCCUCCUAAGCUGCUGGCGGAGUAAUGAUCAUGAUGAUUGCGGUGAGCAGCUGGUCUCUCAGGGUGGGGUGGGGCAGGCCUUCCCUCUGCCAUCAUUGCCCCAGAUCUGGUCCAGACUCCUAUGAUCUGGGCCCAAAUCCCAGCUCCACCCAUGACUAACCAUAC